UGAAUACGAGAUGCUACGGCGUCGAAGCAGUGUAUGUCAGACUUCCAAGAAAAGCUCGCAAUGUCAUAAAUAAAGAAUGCCUGUACCAUAACCGACACAGGUGGGUAGGUAGAGUAUACUAAGGGGCGCGAGAUAACUCUCUCUACGGAACUCGGCAAAAUAACUCCGUAACUUCGGGAGAAGGAGUGCCUUCUUUAAGAAGGUUGCAAUAACAAGAUCCAAGCAACUGUUUAUCAAAAACACAGGUCUCCGCUAAGUCGUAAGACGAUGUAUGGGGGCUGACGCCUGCCCAGUGCCUGAAGGUUAAAGAAGUUGGUUAGCUUUUGCGAAGCUGAUGACUGAAGCCCUGGUGAACGGCGGCCGUAACAAUAACGGUCCUAAGGUAGCGAAAUUCCUUGUCGGGUAAGUUCCGACCCGCACGAAAGGCGUAAUGAUUUGGAUACUGUCUCGGAGAGGGACUCGGUGAAAUAGACUUGUCUGUGAAGAUGCGGACUACCUGCACCAGGACAGAAAGACCCUAUGAAGCUUUACUGUAACUUGAAAUUGAAAUUGGACUUUAUUUGCGCAGUAUAGGUGGAAGGCGUUGAAAGUAAUCUUGCGGGAUUAGUGGAGCCAUCAGUGAGAUACCACUCCUAUAAUGUUAGAUUUCUAACUUUGGAUCAUGAUCUGGUCAAAGAACAGUUUCAGGCGGGCAGUUUGACUGGGGCGGUCGCCUCCCAAAUGGUAACGGAGGCGUACAAAGGUUUCCUCUGAACGGGUAGAAAUCGUAUCUAGAGUGUAAAGGCAUAAGGAAGCUUGACUGUGAGACCUACAAGUCGAGCAGGGACGAAAGUCGGUCUUAGUGAUCUGACGGUGCUGAGUGGAAAGGCCGUCACUCAACGGAUAAAAGUUACUCUAAGGAUAACAGGCUGAUCUCCCCCAAGAGUUCACAUCGACGGGGAGGUUUGGCACCUCGAUGUCGGCUCAUCGCAUCCUGGGGCGGUAGUACGUCCCAAGGGUUGGGCUGUUCGCCCAUGAAAGCGGUACGCGAGCUGGGUUCAGAACGUCGUGAGACAGUUCGGUCCAUAUCCGGUGUAGGCGUUAGAAUAUUGAGAGGAGCCUUCUUUAGUACGAGAGGACCGAGAAGGACAUACCUCUGGUGUACCAGUUAUCGUGCCAACGGUAAACGCUGGGUAGCUAUGUAUGGAGAGGAUAACCGCUGAAAGCAUCUAAGUGGGAAGCCCACCUCAAGAUGAG
RNAcentral lists this ribosomal RNA (1236 nucleotides) under metagenome. RNAcentral's name for it is "bacterial LSU rRNA". It matches the Rfam family "Bacterial large subunit ribosomal RNA", at positions 1564 to 2808 of the family's 2925-position model. The record is from RNAcentral.